Long non-coding RNA from Panicum virgatum (switchgrass), 1939 nucleotides. RefSeq lists it as uncharacterized. NCBI's taxonomy places the organism in Eukaryota, Viridiplantae, Streptophyta, Magnoliopsida, Poales, Poaceae. The record is from RefSeq and is a predicted model, not a curated record. The transcript has 3 exons.
CAGCUCAUUGUAAUGAUUAAUUACACGAAAAACUAUCCCAAAAUUUAUCGCGUUCCCCAUCACGCACAGAUGCCCAAACAUCGCCGCGAUGAUUCUAUCGCGGAGCAGGAAGCGGGAUGUGCACUCCACCGGAUCAGACACCGCCGCUCAGGCAUUGAAGGGAUCCCCCGAUUGCCAAAGCUUCAUCAAUCUCAUCAGGUUUACGGCACAAAAAUCUGAUUCCCAUCCACCACCGGCUAUCCACAGGAACACCGCAUCUUGCAGCUGGAGGUGCCCCCAAUGGGAUCUAGCCAUCUAGAUCGACAACAAUUGUUGCUGCCGCGCGGGGGUUCGUUGACUGCCGCAGCCCAGGCAAAAUGAGCUUCCGAUCAACGACAGCAGCAAAGGGAUAUCUGUCAGUUGCCAAUUGCUAUGCUAUAGAUGUUCUAUGAAUUGAGAUAACAUUAUCUGGAUUUCAUAAUUUUCAGUAUCUCAUUGGGUUCGUGGAAAAUAGACUGAUCUGAGUAUUUUUAUACACUGGUAAAUUGAUGAAUCCACUACCAAUCUUGGAUUCUAGUAAUCAUUUAUAAAGAUUAUCAUAAAUCACGUAUUAGGGACAUAUAUUCUAGUAAAUCAUUUCGAGAAAUUCGAGUAAAUAGAUUUUUUUAGAAAUCAUAAUUGAUAUAUUUAUUAUGGUUAGACUUGCUUUCUCGUAACACGCAGUUGUUUCGUGGAUCUGGCAGUCGGCUCUGGGUUUCCUAAUUUUUUAGAAAUCAGACAGAUGCACUGGGAAGGCCAGGUCCAGAUCCACCAUGCGCAUGCGCAUGCCUCCUGGUUUCUAGAGACAGGGGGUUGUGACGGUGUGGAGGUGACGGCUUGUGUUAUUUCGUCGGGCAGGCACUACACCAAACUGGAAUUACCUUGGCGGCCAUAGAUUUACUUGGUGGCCGAAAUGGAACCGCCAAGAAAAAUAUAGUUUCCUUGGCCAUUUAAGUUAACCGCCAAGGAAAAGUAUAAUGCUUGGCGGGUGAACAGAUACGACAUGAAAAUUGCGAGUUUCCUUGGCGAUUUUUGCUGGACCGCCAAGAAAACCGACUAUUUCCUUGGCGGGUUAACUUGGCAGCCAAGAAAAAUGGCGCAUUUCCUUGCUGGACCACCGAGAAUACUGACUGUUUCCUUGGGGGUUUGGUUUGGCAGCCAAGAAAAUGACGCAAUUCAUUGGUGGUCUGGUGUUUUAAUUUGAAAAAAUAACUACAGAUUGGUAAAAUAAUGGAGCACAUGAGGUUGGAGCCUAUGUGUUAGGUUCUCACACACAAACCUUACUACUGCACUAUGCACGCGGUGGUAUAAAUUCUUGGUAAUAAAUUAUUGACAGUAUUCUCAAAUAUCUAUAAAAAAGGGUGCAAUGGGGAUCGAAACAGAGACCACAUGCUUAGGAAAGGUACUAUUUUUUAAUAUUAUGGCCAACAUAAGGUUGUAUCAAAAUUUAAGGUACAUACAAGUUCAAAAACAUUAUAAGAUACUCAAAUAUUGAAGUUUGACAUGAGUUGUUGGGAUAUAUGUGAUAGAUAUACCCAUUCGUGAACAAUAUAUGAUAUUAUUAAAACCAUUUAAAUUUUUAUGGUAAGCUUAUGUGCCAAAAAUAUGUCACCAUGUCAAUUUGUAGAAUUUUAUGACAAAAUUUAGAUAUUAUUAUAAUUAUGAUGUGAUUAUGAAGAGAUAGAAGUUUUAAUUAUCAUUAGAAAACAGUUGCAAUUUUCAUCUAUCUCUAGUACAUGAACUAAAAUAGAACUUAUGAGCCUAAAUAUAAUUUUUAUGCAAUUGUUUGCAUUUUAUUAGAAGCACAUGUAGUUCAAUUUGAAAUUAAUUUCUAUAACAAUGUAUAAAUUCAUUUUUAUACGGUACUUUGCAAUGUUAUAAUGCACUGAAAAACAAAAAAAGAAAAUGGUAAGCAGGGCAA